Molecule: ribosomal RNA, 512 nt
Filed under: Ligilactobacillus salivarius
Lineage: Bacteria; Bacillati; Bacillota; Bacilli; Lactobacillales; Lactobacillaceae
Description: bacterial SSU rRNA
Rfam family: Bacterial small subunit ribosomal RNA
Source: RNAcentral
GACGAACGCUGGCGGCGUGCCUAAUACAUGCAAGUCGAACGAAACUUUCUUACACCGAAUGCUUGCAUUCAUCGUAAGAAGUUGAGUGGCGGACGGGUGAGUAACACGUGGGUAACCUGCCUAAAAGAAGGGGAUAACACUUGGAAACAGGUGCUAAUACCGUAUAUCUCUAAGGAUCGCAUGAUCCUUAGAUGAAAGAUGGUUCUGCUAUCGCUUUUAGAUGGACCCGCGGCGUAUUAACUAGUUGGUGGGGUAACGGCCUACCAAGGUGAUGAUACGUAGCCGAACUGAGAGGUUGAUCGGCCACAUUGGGACUGAGACACGGCCCAAACUCCUACGGGAGGCAGCAGUAGGGAAUCUUCCACAAUGGACGCAAGUCUGAUGGAGCAACGCCGCGUGAGUGAAGAAGGUCUUCGGAUCGUAAAACUCUGUUGUUAGAGAAGAACACGAGUGAGAGUAACUGUUCAUUCGAUGACGGUAUCUAACCAGCAAGUCACGGCUAACUACGUGCC